This is a long non-coding RNA of Dermacentor silvarum, 237 nucleotides long. RefSeq lists it as uncharacterized. The record is from RefSeq and is a predicted model, not a curated record. Lineage: Eukaryota; Metazoa; Arthropoda; Arachnida; Ixodida; Ixodidae. The transcript is spliced from 3 exons.
AGCAUCUGAUGGCUCAAGCUUGCCUCACCACUAGGUUCAUCAAGCUGAUCACCUUGCUCACUGCUAGUUCACUGGUGACCUCCUGCUCCCUGGGCUGCGAAGGAUGAAAUCGAUCACUAUGCCUUUACGAUCUCGACUGGCAAUGCCGAUGCAUUUGUGUCCCGCCAACGACAAAUUGCCCACCCCUGCGAUCACAGCUGCCAUUUGGUUGCCCCGACAGUUCUUCCUUUAAUUGCA